Molecule: ribosomal RNA, 440 nt
Filed under: uncultured bacterium
Lineage: Bacteria
Description: bacterial SSU rRNA
Rfam family: Bacterial small subunit ribosomal RNA
Source: RNAcentral
CCUACGGGGGGCAGCAGUGAGGAAUAUUGCCCAAUGGGGGAAACCCUGAGGCAGCAACGCCGCGUGGAUGAGGAAGGCCUUCGGGUUGUAAAAUCCUUUUCUCAGGGACGAUGAUGACGGUACUUGAGGAAUAAGUCCCGGCUAACUACGUGCCAGCAGCCGCGGUAAAACGUAGGGGACAAGCGUUAUCCGGAUUUAUUGGGCGUAAAGCGCACGUAGGCGGCUUGUUAAGCUGGACGUGAAAGCUCCCGGCUUAACUGGGAGAGGUCGGACAGGACUGGCAGGCUAGAGGCUGGCAGAGGAGCGUGGAAUUCCCGGUGUAGUGGUGGAAUGCGUAGAUAUCGGGAGGAACACCAGUGGCGAAAGCGACGCUCUGGGUCAGCACUGACGCUUAGGUGCGAAAGCGUGGGGAGCGAACGGGAUUAGAUACCCGAGUAGUC